GCCUUCGUGGUGUAAUGGUCAGCACGCUCGGCGCGUAUUCGAGAGGUCCGUGGUUCGAGUCCCGACGAGGGCA
Molecule: transfer RNA, 73 nt
Filed under: Stegodyphus mimosarum
Lineage: Eukaryota; Metazoa; Arthropoda; Arachnida; Araneae; Eresidae
Rfam family: tRNA
About the family: Transfer RNA (tRNA) molecules are approximately 80 nucleotides in length.
Source: Rfam by way of RNAcentral